This 622-nucleotide long non-coding RNA is filed under the name Anser brachyrhynchus (Pink-footed goose). Its description in RNAcentral is "lncRNA (ENSABRG00000002057.1)". Lineage: Eukaryota; Metazoa; Chordata; Aves; Anseriformes; Anatidae. The record is from RNAcentral.
UGCUGGUGCCGUGGGGAGUGCCUGGCAGCCCCGGGGGUUUCGGGACGAGCCGGAGGUGCAGGGCAGAUGCGGAGAAGCCCCGAGGCCACGGAUGCCUCCCCACGCCGCCGAGGGCCGGAGACCCUCGCUAAUGGUUGGGGUUUUCCACCGAAGCCUUCCCAGCGUGACCCCAAACCGCUUUUCCUGCCUCCUCCUGGGGAGGAGAACGGCUCCACGCAGCGAAGCUCACGGGGGCCCUGCCGAGCAUCCUCCCCCCGACCCCGGGGGCUUCUCCUUCGGGGACCCCGGGGCAGGGGAGGGGGUCCGGCCGAGCCCACCCGCGGGACGCAGCGGCUCGGCUCUGCCCACCGUGCAUCAGAACAGUGAUCUCGCUGUGGGUUUCUCCGUGUUCCCUUCCCCAGAAAACAUCGGGUCCUAUGAAAACUGGGUUGGACUCCUGGAAAAAGCAGUUCGCCCAGGGCAGCUGCUGUUCCUGCGCGGGACGGGCUUGUUCCCAGCCGCGUCCCUGCCGUCACCGGCCACUGCUGGCCACUGCAAAGCCGCUCUGGCCCUGGGAGAUGCCGGGAAUGAAGGUUUUCUGCCGCAUUUUGCACUCCCUAAUGCUUUCCUGGUCUUGCCGUAG